GCUGCGCUGGUUGCUCUAAGCCUGAGGAAUCAGUGCAGUGUAAGCAUUUCUUAAAUAUGUCCCAGAAUUCACGCUCACCCUCUCCCCUGUCCCAUUCUCCAGAAGUCCAUCCACGGGCUGGGUAGGACAUUCACUUCUCCCCACAAGAACUCUUCAGGAAAGUGGCUGUGCUUCCUUAACCUGAGGUUCAGUGUGAUCCAAGGAGACAAAAAGAGGAGUCAUAGAAACUGUUGCUAAGCAAGGGGAACUGAAGAAUGCUCCGUAAUUUUUUUUUUAAUCAUUUCAAUUGCUUCUAGUGCCCCACCCUGUUUCAGCCAUGGCUGAAGCACAUACUCUAGGGAAAGGACAAUGGCUGCCACACAGUGAAGAAGGGACUUCAAGGGUCCCGGAGCCUGGUGCUGGCACCAGGGUGCAAGUUUCGAACAGACCAAGUCCACCGGGUCAUGAGACUCCGCAGAAAAGUCAGGCAGGAGCCGAAACUGGCUCAGCUGCGGACUUGCAGUGCCACCUGCUGGCAGACCUGCUCAGUGCAGGGAGCAGGUCUAAACCGUCAGCAGGGCUGAGUGGCCCGAAGGCAUAGAAGGAACUGAAGACUGAGAAGGAUCUAACUGCAGGUGAAAGAGGGCGAAAAUAGUGUAUUGCUGUCUGGCUUUAGAGCAUGAAUGUUAAUGAGUAAAUGUAUGUCUGAGCUA
Molecule: long non-coding RNA, 692 nt
Filed under: Rattus norvegicus (Norway rat)
Lineage: Eukaryota; Metazoa; Chordata; Mammalia; Rodentia; Muridae
Description: long non-coding RNA NONRATT017374
Source: RNAcentral